This 509-nucleotide unclassified non-coding RNA is filed under the name Bartonella clarridgeiae. RNAcentral describes it as "partial 16S-23S ribosomal RNA intergenic spacer". The stretch from base 89 to 162 matches the Rfam family "tRNA". Lineage: Bacteria; Pseudomonadati; Pseudomonadota; Alphaproteobacteria; Hyphomicrobiales; Bartonellaceae. The record is from RNAcentral.
AUCUGUUUGCACAAGCCUCUGAGAGGGAUGAAGAUAUUGUUUUCUUUGAUCAGAUUAUGCCGGUAAAGGUUUUCUGGUUUACCCUAUAGGGCUUGUAGCUCAGUUGGUUAGAGCGCGCGCUUGAUAAGCGUGAGGUCGGAGGUUCAAGUCCUCCCAGGCCCACCAGUUACACGAUGCUAAAAGUUGCUAUAUUGGGAGAGUUGAUAAUCCCUUACAGGAAAUUAUUGCCCUUAAUAAAACUUUAUUUUCUAAAAGCAUUCAGAGCUGACAUAGAAUAGAGCUGACAUAGGAAUUAUUGAAAUUGUUUUGGAAUUAUUGAAAUUGUUUUCUAUCAUUUUAAAAGGCUAAAAUAUUCUGUCUCUAUUUUUAAAAUAGCAUCAGGUGUUUUGUAAGAGUGUGAAGUUUUUAAGUGUGAGGUUUUUUAUAUUUUAGUGUGAGGUUUUUAUAAGGGUAUGACGUGAGAGCGUUUUGACCUGUUUUAGGGGCCGUAGCUCAGCUGGGAGAGCACC